AAUCCACACGACUCUCGGCAACGGAUAUCUCGGCUCUCGCAUCGAUGAAGAACGUAGCGAAAUGCGAUACCUGGUGUGAAUUGCAGAAUCCCGCGAACCAUCGAGUCUUUGAACGCAAGUUGCGCCCGAGGUCUUUUGGCUGAGGGCACGCCUGCCUGGGCGUCACGC
RNAcentral lists this ribosomal RNA (168 nucleotides) under Anthoxanthum odoratum. RNAcentral's name for it is "5.8S ribosomal RNA". It matches the Rfam family "5.8S ribosomal RNA". Rfam says of the family: 5.8S ribosomal RNA (5.8S rRNA) is a component of the large subunit of the eukaryotic ribosome. It is transcribed by RNA polymerase I as part of the 45S precursor that also contains 18S and 28S rRNA. Functionally, it is thought that 5.8S rRNA may be involved in ribosome translocation. The record is from RNAcentral. Lineage: Eukaryota; Viridiplantae; Streptophyta; Magnoliopsida; Poales; Poaceae. RNAcentral also lists the same sequence under 4 other names.